GGUCCCGUAGCUCAGAUGGAUAGAGCGGGGCUUUCCUAAAGCCUAGGCCGGCGGUUCGACUCCGCCCGGGACCA
Molecule: transfer RNA, 74 nt
Filed under: Verrucomicrobium sp.
Lineage: Bacteria; Pseudomonadati; Verrucomicrobiota; Verrucomicrobiia; Verrucomicrobiales; Verrucomicrobiaceae
Description: tRNA-Arg
Rfam family: tRNA
About the family: Transfer RNA (tRNA) molecules are approximately 80 nucleotides in length. Their secondary structure includes four short double-helical elements and three loops (D, anti-codon, and T loops).
Source: RNAcentral